GACGAACGCUGGCGGCGUGCUUAACACAUGCAAGUCGAACGGAAAGGCCCUGCUUGCCGGGUACUCGAGUGGCGAGCGGGUGAGUAACACGUGGGUGAUCUGCCCUGCACUUCGGGAUAAGCCUGGGAAACUGGGUCUAAUACCGGAUAGGAGCCAUUUUUAGUGUGAUGGUUGGAAAGUUUUUUCGGUGUAGGAUGAGCUCGCGGCCUAUCAGCUUGUUGGUGGGGUAAUGGCCUACCAAGGCGGCGACGGGUAGCCGGCCUGAGAGGGUGGACGGCCACAUUGGGACUGAGAGACGGCCCAGACGCCUACGGGAGGCAGCAGUGGGGAAUAUUGCACAAUGGGCGCAAGCCUGAUGCAGCGACGCCGCGGGGGGGAGGACGGCCUUCGGGUUGUAAACGCCGUUCGCUAGGGACGAAGCUUUUUGUGACGGUACCUAGAGAAGAAGCACCGGCUAACUACGUG
Molecule: ribosomal RNA, 465 nt
Filed under: uncultured bacterium
Lineage: Bacteria
Description: partial 16S ribosomal RNA
Rfam family: Bacterial small subunit ribosomal RNA
Source: RNAcentral